CUCUCCGUUUAUUCCACUUUUUUCCCCUAGCGUUAACUUUUGCCCUUGCUUUUCUCACAAUCGAUAUCCAUGGCUACCAUCAAAGUGAAGAAUAGCAUGAUGUACUUAACAGAUAAUAUAGAAUUUGUAUAAAAUCGGGGCAAUACUGUCCUCCUAAAGGAAUGUCACGAUUUGUUAACUCCUAUUUAAAUUCUCGACUUUAUUGAAAUCGAAUCCACCAUCUACAUCAAAUUCACAUGACGGGUGCUUACACCAACGACCGGAUAUAGUCGCCAUCUCUGCCUCUGCCCUCGAAAAGAAACGAUACCCGCAUAUACUCUUGUGCUCUCUUUGAAGUGAUUAGUUUUUCAUAAUUCAUUACAUGUUGUUCUUCUUUUCGGAACUUGCAAAAGCUAUGGUCAUAGAAAAAUCACAACAACUUUGAAGCAAAGGGUGAUGUUUAGGACAAACAUGACAAUAGGAAGAGAUAACAGCAGCUUAUUAUCCAUAUUCUUGAAAUGGGUACUUGUAUGAUUUGUGAAGAAAAAAUUUGAUUUUAGGCCAAAGGUGACCACCUAAAAGAUUUUUACAGUUCAUUCUCCAAAUUAUCGAAAUAGGUUCUUGUGAGAUGUGGGUUGGUAAAGUAAAGGUUUGGUUUUUAGGACAAAUAUGAUGAUAUAAAAAGAUUAGAACAGUUUGUUCCCCAGAUUCUCUACAUAGGUUUGUUAAUCAAAUACUAAAUUUUAGGCAAACAUGGCCAUGGAAAAGACUAAAGCAUUUUAUUCUCAAAAUUCUCGAAUAUGGUAGUCCGGUCACUGGUUUAGUUAAGCAAAUUUUUUUAUUUUUAGGGCAAACAUGGCCAUAGAAAAUAUUACAUCAAUUCAUUCUCAAAUUUUUUGAAAUGGCAUAUACCUAUGGUUGGAUGUAUAUGUAUGUUUCUGUGUAUAUUACUCUAAAGAAACGGUUUGUUUUGGUAUGAUUUUUAAGAAGCAGAAGGACAAUGCCAUAAGCUGCUCCAUAGGAAGAGAUUAUAGCGCAUCUCCAGUCUGGCACAUUUCAAAGAAAUCUAAAUAAUACAAAGAGCCGGAAGCUGCUUUGACAAGAAAGCACUUUUUGGACAUAGAAAAGCAUAGUUUCUUGGAGAGGAAUGAUCAGAAUGGAGACAUACUUCUCUUUUCAAGUCUCAAAAUAAUAAACAAAAGCCUAUAACCAGCCUAGACGAUGAGGUCGAAUGGUAGUGGCAUACCUCAUAGAGCUUUGUGAGCAUCGAUUUCACUUAGGGAAAGAUGUGUGAACAGACGAUGAAACUGUUAAACCUUUGUUGAUGCACAUGAGUUCUCUUUCCAGCCACUGAAGCUAAGAAAAGAGGCCCCUAGACCGAUUAAAAGAGAGCUACCUUCUGAUGCAUGUUUUUGUACUGUGCAGAACACUUACGGGUGUAGAACUGAAGAAGAAGCUCCUGGGAAGAAAGUUUACACGUGAAGUUGUUAAUGCUGUAAUAACAGAUUUCCAUAUCAGGUAAAGCACUGGAAUCAAGAUGCUUCGAUCGGAGUUGUCAACCCUGUCUUUGAUAACAGAAAUGUUAUUUCAAUGAUUUUUCUUUUAUAGUCACUUUGACUCUUUGAAAUUUCUAACUUGGUUUCUCCCGUUUGUAUUGAUAUCUCUGUGAUUUUCGUACUUCCGUAACUUCCUUCUCACUGUACAUACAAGGAAGAAAAGAGACCUGGAAAAACCAUGUGCCCAAGCCCUUCAACAGUGAGAAGUUAAAAGUGAACUUUGGUUCCAGAGAUUCAAAGAUUUAAGAGAAAACAGACAGAAUUCUGAUUUAAGUACAUUACUCUUUUAAUAGAUGACUGAAAAAGUUGUGAAGGUUGAUGAGGCUAUUAACUAUGUGCAAUCUCACCACCGCCGAGUUGAGUUUAUCUCAAUGAAGUUAGCUAGUCUGAAUUCGGGAAUGGACUAUAACGUGAAAUGUCUUCUCUCCGGGGAUACAAGUCGCUCAAAAGUAUGUUGUUACAAAUGAGUUUUUGGCUUCUUGAAUAUGAAUGUUCAUGAAUUUGGUGACAGUUUCAGAUGAUUCAAUCCAUUUCAUCGUUGCAUCAUACUUACAGAAGUAGCUGUAGAGUUCGGAUUUUGGAGUUAUGAAGCUGGUCUAGAGGAAAAUUUAGUUCCUCUAAAAUUGUUGAGAAUAACAAAAGUGAGGAUGUACAAAAAAGCUCUUAUUAUAGACCUUAUUCAUAUAUCCACUUGAAAUAGCCGCUUAGUAGUGGCUUAAUGAAUUAUUGUCUCCUCUGCAGUAGCAUUACAAACUUUCUUUACUUUCUUUUUCUAUUGUAGCCUGUUGUAGUCAUAGUUCCUUCUUUAUGACCACUCAGUUUAAUAAAAGAUUUAUUUCAUUC
Molecule: long non-coding RNA, 2378 nt
Organism: Lycium ferocissimum
Lineage: Eukaryota; Viridiplantae; Streptophyta; Magnoliopsida; Solanales; Solanaceae
Exons: 2
Source: RefSeq, a predicted model, not a curated record